GGGUUGUGAGGUUAAGCGACUAAGCGUACACGGUGGAUGCCCUGGCAGUCAGAGGCGAUGAAGGACGUGCGAAUCUGCGAUAAGCGCGGGUAAGGUGAUAUGAACCGUUAUAGCCGGCGAUUUCCGAAUGGGGAAACCCAGUGUGA
Molecule: ribosomal RNA, 146 nt
Filed under: Salmonella enterica subsp. enterica serovar Cerro
Lineage: Bacteria; Pseudomonadati; Pseudomonadota; Gammaproteobacteria; Enterobacterales; Enterobacteriaceae
Description: partial 23S ribosomal RNA
Rfam family: Bacterial large subunit ribosomal RNA
Source: RNAcentral